This 505-nucleotide ribosomal RNA is filed under the name uncultured bacterium. RNAcentral describes it as "partial 16S ribosomal RNA". It matches the Rfam family "Bacterial small subunit ribosomal RNA", at positions 28 to 507 of the family's 1533-position model. The record is from RNAcentral.
GACGAACGCUGGCGGCGUGCCUAAUACAUGCAAGUAGAACGCACAGUUUAUACCGUAGCUUGCUACACCAUAGACUGUGAGUUGCGAACGGGUGAGUAACGCGUAGGUAACCUGCCUGGUAGCGGGGGAUAACUAUUGGAAACGAUAGCUAAUACCGCAUAAUAUUAAUUAUUGCAUGAUAAUUAAUUGAAAGGUGCAAUUGCACCACUACCAGAUGGACCUGCGUUGUAUUAGCUAGUAGGUGAGGUAACGGCUCACCUAGGCGACGAUACAUAGCCGACCUGAGAGGGUGAUCGGCCACACUGGGACUGAGACACGGCCCAGACUCGUACGGGAGGCAGCAGUAGGGAAUCUUCGGCAAUGGACGAAAGUCUGACCGAGCAACGCCGCGUGAGUGAAGAAGGUUUUCGGAUCGUAAAGCUCUGUUGUAAGAGAAGAACGGGUGUGAGAGUGGAAAGUUCACACUGUGACGGUAUCUUACCAGAAAGGGACGGCUAACUACGUG